GUAGUCCACGCCGUAAACGAUGGAUACUAGCUGUUGGAGGUAUCGACCCCUUCAGUAGCGAAGCUAACGCGUUAAGUAUCCCGCCUGUGGAGUACGGUCGCAAGACUAAAACAUAAAGGAAUUGACGGGGAGCCGCACAAGCGGUGGAUUAUGUUCUUUAAUUCGAUGAUAACCGAUGAACCUUACCAGGGUUUGACAUCCUUGGAAUUUUGCCGAAAGGCGAGAGUGCUUUAUUGAACCAAGUGACAGAUGAUGCAUGGCCGUCGUCAGCUCGUGUCGUGAGAUGUUUGGUUAAGUCCAUUAACGAGCGCAACCCUUGUGAUUAGUUGUAUUUUUCUAAUCAGACUGCCCUGGCAACGGGGA
RNAcentral lists this ribosomal RNA (363 nucleotides) under uncultured bacterium. RNAcentral describes it as "bacterial SSU rRNA". It matches the Rfam family "Bacterial small subunit ribosomal RNA", at positions 790 to 1167 of the family's 1533-position model. The record is from RNAcentral.